AUGCAAGUCGAACGCGGUUUUCCCGCAAGGGAAAACUGAGUGGCGAACGGGUGAGUAACACGUGGGUGACCUACCUUCGAGUGGGGGAUAACGUCCCGAAAGGGACGCUAAUACCGCAUAACAUCCUGCCUUUGAACAGGCGGAGAUCAAAGCCGGGGAUCGUAAGACCUGGCGCUUGAUGAGGGGCCCGCGUCCGAUUAGCUAGUUGGUGAGGUAAUGGCUCACCAAGGCAACGAUCGGUAGCCGGCCUGAGAGGGCGGACGGCCACACUGGGACUGAGACACGGCCCAGACUCCUACGGGAGGCAGCAGUGGGGAAUUGUUCGCAAUGGGCGCAAGCCUGACGACGCAACGCCGCGUGGAGGAUGAAGGUCUUCGGAUUGUAAACUCCUGUUGCCUGGGACGAAUGGCUCCAACCUAAUACGUUGGAGUGUGACGGUACCAGGUGAGGAAGCCCCGGCUAACUCUGUGCCAGCAGCCGCGGUAAUACAGAGGGGGCAAGCGUUGUUCGGAAUUACUGGGCGUAA
RNAcentral lists this ribosomal RNA (526 nucleotides) under uncultured earthworm cast bacterium. RNAcentral's name for it is "bacterial SSU rRNA". It matches the Rfam family "Bacterial small subunit ribosomal RNA", at positions 55 to 563 of the family's 1533-position model. The record is from RNAcentral.